AUUGAACGCUGGCGGCAUGCUUUACACAUGCAAGUCGAACGGGGUGGAGGGGCAACUCUCCAUUCAGUGGCGAACGGGUGAGUAAUGCAUCGGAACGUGUCCCGUAGUGGGGGAUAACCC
This 120-nucleotide ribosomal RNA is filed under the name uncultured bacterium. RNAcentral's name for it is "partial 16S ribosomal RNA". It matches the Rfam family "Bacterial small subunit ribosomal RNA", at positions 30 to 149 of the family's 1533-position model. The record is from RNAcentral.